AUUAGAUAAAAAACCAAUGCCCUUCGGGGCUCCUUGGUGAUUCAUAAUAACUUCACGAAUCGCAUGGCCUUGCGCCGGCGAUGGUUCAUUCAAAUUUCUGCCCUAUCAACUUUCGAUGGUAGGAUAGUGGCCUACCAUGGUGGCAACGGGUAACGGGGAAUUAGGGUUCGAUUCCGGAGAGGGAGCCUGAGAAACGGCUACCACAUCCAAGGAAGGCAGCAGGCGCGCAAAUUACCCAAUCCCGAUACGGGGAGGUAGUGACAAUAAAUACUGAUACAGGGCUCUUUUGGGUCUUGUAAUUGGAAUGAGAACAAUCUAAAUCCCUUAACGAGGAACAAUUGGAGGGCAAGUCUGGUGCCAGCAGCCGCGGUAAUUCCAGCUCCAAUAGCGUAUAUUAAAGUUGUUGCUGUUAAAAAGCUCGUAGUUGAACCUUGGGCCCGUCCUGCCGGUCCGCCUCACCGCGAGUACUGGUCCGGAUGGGCCUUUCUUUCUGGGGAAUCCCAUGGCCUUCACUGGC
This 517-nucleotide ribosomal RNA is filed under the name uncultured fungus. RNAcentral describes it as "SSU rRNA". It matches the Rfam family "Eukaryotic small subunit ribosomal RNA", at positions 209 to 726 of the family's 1831-position model. The record is from RNAcentral. Lineage: Eukaryota; Fungi.